GUAAAGAGCUCGUAGGCGGUUUGUCGCGUCUGCUGUGAAAACCCGAGGCUCAACCUCGGGCCUGCAGUGGGUACGGGCAGACUAGAGUGCGGUAGGGGAGAUUGGAAUUCCUGGUGUAGCGGUGGAAUGCGCAGAUAUCAGGAGGAACACCGAUGGCGAAGGCAGAUCUCUGGGCCGUAACUGACGCUGAGGAGCGAAAGGGUGGGGAGCAAACAGGCUUAGAUACCCUGGUAGUCCACCCCGUAAACGUUGGGAACUAGUUGUGGGGUCCAUUCCACGGAUUCCGUGACGCAGCUAACGCAUUAAGUUCCCCGCCUGGGGAGUACGGCCGCAAGGCUAAAACUCAAAGGAAUUGACGGGGACCCGCACAAGCGGCGGAGCAUGCGGAUUAAUUCGAUGCAACGCGAAGAACCUUACCAAGGCUUGACAUACACGAGAACGCUGCAGAAAUGUAGAACUCUUUGGACACUCGUGAACAGGUGGUGCAUGGUUGUCGUCAGCUCGUGUCGUGAGAUGUUGGGUUAAGUCCCGCAACGAGCGCAACCCUCGUUCUAUGUUGCCAGCACGUAAUGGUGGGAACUCAUGGGAUACUGCCGGGGUCAACUCGGAGGAAGGUGGGGAUGACGUCAAAUCAUCAUGCCCCUUAUGUCUUGGGCUUCACGCAUGCUACAAUGGCCGGUACAAAGGGCUGCAAUACCGCGAGGUGGAGCGAAUCCCAAAAAGCCGGUCCCAGUUCGGAUUGAGGUCUGCAACUCGACCUCAUGAAGUCGGAGUCGCU
This 778-nucleotide ribosomal RNA is filed under the name uncultured bacterium. RNAcentral's name for it is "bacterial SSU rRNA". It matches the Rfam family "Bacterial small subunit ribosomal RNA", at positions 560 to 1336 of the family's 1533-position model. The record is from RNAcentral.